RNAcentral lists this ribosomal RNA (253 nucleotides) under uncultured bacterium. RNAcentral's name for it is "partial 16S ribosomal RNA". It matches the Rfam family "Bacterial small subunit ribosomal RNA", at positions 524 to 776 of the family's 1533-position model. The record is from RNAcentral.
GACGAACCGUGCAAACGUUAUUCGGAAUCACUGGGCAUAAAGGGCUCGUAGGCGGUCUGUCACGUCGGGAGUGAAAACUCGGGGCUUAACCCCGAGCCUGCUUCCGAUACGGGCAGACUAGAGGUAUGCAGGGGAGAACGUAAUUCCUGGUGUAGCGGUGAAAUGCGCAGAUAUCAGGAGGAACACCGGUGGCGAAGGCGGUUCUCUGGGCAUUACCUGACGCUGAGGAGCGAAAGUGUGGGGAGCGAACAGG